GUUGCCGUUCUUGCACUUUAUACUGAAACCCUGCAUUUAAAGAGAUUCCGGCUAAGCGAGUGUGGCACAGAGAAAAUCUUCCUUUGGAAAGUAGACUUUCAGACAUAGUUGAGGCGACAUAACCCACGCCACGAUUGUAUCACUCAAAGUCUAAUAUCU
Drosophila melanogaster (fruit fly) is the source of this 159-nucleotide small nucleolar RNA. The record is from Ensembl. Lineage: Eukaryota; Metazoa; Arthropoda; Insecta; Diptera; Drosophilidae.